RNAcentral lists this long non-coding RNA (246 nucleotides) under Homo sapiens (human). RNAcentral's name for it is "LHRI_LNC1152.1". Lineage: Eukaryota; Metazoa; Chordata; Mammalia; Primates; Hominidae. The record is from RNAcentral.
AUGGAGCAUUAUUUCUGGAUGUGUCUCUGAGGGUGUUUCCAGGGGAGACUGGUAUGUGAGUCAGUGGACUGAGUGGAAGAGAUCUGCCAUCAAUAUCUUUGGGCACCUUCCAAUCAGCUGUGAGCCCAACAGAGCAAAAGGCAGAGGAAAGGUGAAUUCUCUCUCUCUCUCUGUCUCUCUGGAACACUCUUCUCUUGCUCUUCAAUAUCACAACUCCAGGCUCUCCGGCCUUUGGUCUUUGGGACU